Molecule: ribosomal RNA, 311 nt
Filed under: uncultured bacterium
Lineage: Bacteria
Description: partial 16S ribosomal RNA
Rfam family: Bacterial small subunit ribosomal RNA
Source: RNAcentral
UAAGAGACAGCAGUAGCCGCGGUAAAACGGGGGGGGCAAGUGUUAUUCGGAAUGACUGGGUGUAAAGGGCACGUAGGCGGUGAAAAGGGUGGAAAGUGAAAGUCGCCAAAACACUGGCGGGGUGCUUUCUUGACCAUUUCACUUGAGUGAGAUAGGGGAGAGUGGAAUUUCGUGUGGAGGGAUCAAAUCCUAAGAUAUACGAAGGAACGCCAACCACGAAGGCAGCUCUCUGGGUCCCCACUGACGCUGGGGUGCGAAAGCAUGGGGAGGAAACAGGAUCAGAUACCCGGGUAGUCCCUGUCUCUUAUACC